Molecule: ribosomal RNA, 305 nt
Filed under: uncultured bacterium
Lineage: Bacteria
Description: bacterial SSU rRNA
Rfam family: Bacterial small subunit ribosomal RNA
Source: RNAcentral
UGGUCCCACGGGAGGCAGCAGUGAGGAAUAUUGGUCAAUGGGCGCGAGCCUGAACCAGCCAAGUAGCGUGAAGGAUGACUGCCCUACGGGUUGUAAACUUCUUUUAUAAAGGAAUAAAGUGAGGCACGUGUGCCUUUUUGUAUGUACUUUAUGAGUAAGGAUCGGCUAACUCCGUGCCAGCAGCCGCGGUAAUACGGAGGAUCCGAGCGUUAUCCGGAUUUAUUGGGUUUAAAGGGUGCGUAGGCGGUCUGUUAAGUCAGCGGUAAAAUUGCGGGGCUCAACCCCGUCGAGCCGUUGAAACUGGC